GAGUUUGAUCUUGGCUCAGAUUGAACGCUGGCGGCAUGCCUUACACAUGCAAGUCGAACGGCAGCACGGGAGCUUGCUCCUGGUGGCGGGUGGCGAACGGGUGAGUAAUGCAUCGGAACGUAUCCUGGAGUGGGGGAUAACGUAGCGAAAGUUACGCUAAUACCGCAUAUUCUGUGAGCAGGAAAGCGGGGGACCUUCGGGCCUCGCGCUCUUGGAGCGGCCGAUGUCGGAUUAGCUAGUUGGUGAGGUAAAGGCUCACCAAGGCGACGAUCCGUAGCAGGUCUGAGAGGAUGAUCUGCCACACUGGAACUGAGACACGGUCCAGACUCCUACGGGAGGCAGCAGUGGGGAAUUUUGGACAAUGGGGGCAACCCUGAUCCAGCCAUGCCGCGUGAGUGAAGAAGGCCUCGGUUGUAAG
This 418-nucleotide ribosomal RNA is filed under the name bacterium enrichment culture clone ALO1_GLFRUDD03F6LD4. Its description in RNAcentral is "bacterial SSU rRNA". It matches the Rfam family "Bacterial small subunit ribosomal RNA", at positions 9 to 429 of the family's 1533-position model. The record is from RNAcentral.